GCUGUGUCAAUUCAGUAGGUGCCAGAGAGGGGUGAGGUUAUGUCUAGCUUAGUGUCCUGAUCUAUGAACAUCUCAAUGAUUAGUAACCUAUAAUU
This 95-nucleotide small nucleolar RNA is filed under the name Mus spicilegus (steppe mouse). RNAcentral describes it as "Small nucleolar RNA SNORA17 (ENSMSIG00000026441.1)". It matches the Rfam family "Small nucleolar RNA SNORA17", at positions 31 to 132 of the family's 132-position model. Rfam says of the family: snoRNA ACA 17 belongs to the H/ACA family of snoRNAs and is predicted to guide pseudouridylation of the 28S rRNA at positions U4659 and U4598. The record is from RNAcentral. Lineage: Eukaryota; Metazoa; Chordata; Mammalia; Rodentia; Muridae.